RNAcentral lists this ribosomal RNA (468 nucleotides) under uncultured bacterium. RNAcentral describes it as "partial 16S ribosomal RNA". It matches the Rfam family "Bacterial small subunit ribosomal RNA", at positions 28 to 507 of the family's 1533-position model. The record is from RNAcentral.
GACGAACGCUGGCGGCGUGCUUAACACAUGCAAGUCGAACGGAAAGGCCCUGCUUGUGUGGGGUGAUCGAGUGGCGAACGGGUGAGUAACAAGUGAGUAACCUGCCCUAGACUUUGGGAUAACUUCAGGAAACUGGGGCUAAUCUAGGAUAGGAGCCGCUGUUGCGUGGUGGGGGUUGGAAAGUUUCGGCGGUUGGGGAUGGACUCGCGGCUUAUGAGUUUGUUGGUGGGCGAGGUGCAUACCAAGGAUUUGACGGGUAGCCGGCCUGAGUGGGUGGACCGCCACAUUGGUACUGCGAUACGGCCCAGAGUCCUACAGGGGACAGCAGUCGGGAAUCUUGCACAAGCGGCGGAAGCCUGAUACAACAACCCCGCGUGCGGGAUGACCGCCUUCGGGUUAUAAACCGCUUUCGCCUAUGACGAAGCGGGUGUGACGGUAAUGAGUAAAGAAGCACCGGCUAACUACGUG